RNAcentral lists this ribosomal RNA (265 nucleotides) under uncultured microorganism. RNAcentral describes it as "partial 16S ribosomal RNA". It matches the Rfam family "Archaeal small subunit ribosomal RNA", at positions 330 to 592 of the family's 1478-position model. The record is from RNAcentral.
GCGCAGCAGUCGAGAAACCUCCGCAAUGCGGGAAACCGUGACGGGGUCACCCCGAGUGCCACCCGAUGAGGGUGGCUUUUCCCCGGUCUAAAAAGCCGGGGGCAAUAAGCGGGGGGCAAGUCUGGUGUCAGCCGCCGCGGGUAAUACCAGCCCCGCGAGUGGUCGGGACCGUUUAUUGGGCCGUAAAGCGUCCGUAGCCGGCUCGGUAAGUCCCCUCCUUAAAUCCACGGGCUCAACCCGUGGGCUGGGAGGGAUACUGCCGGGC